UACGGAGGAUGCGAGCGUUAUCCGGAUUUAUUGGGUUUAAAGGGUGCGCAGGCGGUCUGUUAAGUCAGCGGUCAAAGCCCGGGGCUCAACCCCGCUCCGCCGUUGAAACUGUGUCCCUUGAGUGCGCGAAGGGUAGGCGGAAUGCGUGGUGUAGCGGUGAAAUGCAUAGAUAUCACGCAGAACUCCGAUCGCGAAGGCAGCCUACCGGCGCGCAACUGACGCUGAGGCACGAAAGCGUGGGUAUCGAACAGG
This 252-nucleotide ribosomal RNA is filed under the name uncultured Bacteroidales bacterium. RNAcentral's name for it is "partial 16S ribosomal RNA". It matches the Rfam family "Bacterial small subunit ribosomal RNA", at positions 524 to 776 of the family's 1533-position model. Lineage: Bacteria; Pseudomonadati; Bacteroidota; Bacteroidia; Bacteroidales. The record is from RNAcentral.